AGCGAACGCUGGCGGCAGGCCUAACACAUGCAAGUCGAACGGACCCUUCGGGGUUAGUGGCGGACGGGUGAGUAACACGUGGGAACGUGCCUUUAGGUUCGGAAUAGCUCCUGGAAACGGGUGGUAAUGCCGAAUGUGCCCUUCUGGGGAAAGAUUUAUCGCCUUUAGAGCGGCCCGCGUCUGAUUAGCUAGUUGGUGAGGUAACGGCUCACCAAGGCGACGAUCAGUAGCUGGUCUGAGAGGAUGACCAGCCACACUGGGACUGAGACACGGCCCAGACUCCUACGGGAGGCAGCAGUGGGGAAUCUUGCGCAAUGGGCGAAAGCCUGACGCAGCCAUGCCGCGUGAAUGAUGAAGGUCUUAGGAUUGUAAAAUUCUUUCAACGGGGACGAUAAUGACGGUACCCGGAGAAGAAGCCCCGGCUAACUUCGUG
RNAcentral lists this ribosomal RNA (433 nucleotides) under uncultured bacterium. RNAcentral describes it as "partial 16S ribosomal RNA". It matches the Rfam family "Bacterial small subunit ribosomal RNA", at positions 29 to 507 of the family's 1533-position model. The record is from RNAcentral.